UCAACGCGGGAAAUCUUACCGGGUCCGGACACACUGAGGAUUGACAGAUAUAUACCCCGUGAUUUUAUCGCGGGGUUGAAAGAUGCUAGUUCUUUCAUGAUUAUGUGAUAGGUGGUGCAUGGCCGUUCUUAGUUCGUGGAGUGAUCUGUCUGCUUAAUUGCGUAUCAAUAAUAGAGACCUAGUAUACGCGUAGACUCAUGCGGUAGUGACCCCCCUUCACAGGGCGCGUGUCGCACGUAUGUUAUACGCACAGGUCUCCGAUAGCAACGAACGUGACCGUACUCUAUUGUUGCAGCGACAAUACCUUUCAACGGGUAUUACCGCUGCUUAGCAAGAUUCGUCUUGCAUUAAACUAUAGAGACCGCUGUUUCUUCUUUAAACCAGAGGAAGGAUACGGCAAUAACAGGUC
Molecule: ribosomal RNA, 409 nt
Filed under: Ammonia sp. genotype T6
Lineage: Eukaryota; Foraminifera; Rotaliida; Rotaliidae
Description: SSU rRNA
Rfam family: Eukaryotic small subunit ribosomal RNA
Source: RNAcentral